AUUGAACGCUGGCGGUAUGCUUAACACAUGCAAGUCGAACGGUAGCAGGCCUUCGGGCGCUGACGAGUGGCGGACGGGUGAGUAACGCGUAGGAAUCUGCCUCAUAGUGGGGGACAACGUGGGGAAACUCACGCUAAUACCGCAUACGCCCUACGGGGGAAAGCGGGGGAUCUUCGGACCUCGCGCUAUGAGAUGAGCCUGCGUUAGAUUAGCUAGUUGGUAGGGUAAAGGCCUACCAAGGCGACGAUCUAUAGCUGGUCUGAGAGGACGAUCAGCCACACUGGGACUGAGACACGGCCCAGACUCCUACGGGAGGCAGCAGUGGGGAAUAUUGGACAAUGGGCGCAAGCCUGAUCCAGCAAUACCGCGUGUGUGAAGAAGGCCUUAGGGUUGUAAAGCACUUUCACCGGGGACGAUAAUGACGGUA
RNAcentral lists this ribosomal RNA (427 nucleotides) under uncultured bacterium. RNAcentral's name for it is "bacterial SSU rRNA". It matches the Rfam family "Bacterial small subunit ribosomal RNA", at positions 30 to 477 of the family's 1533-position model. The record is from RNAcentral.